This 430-nucleotide ribosomal RNA is filed under the name Pseudomonadota bacterium. RNAcentral's name for it is "Proteobacteria bacterium partial 16S ribosomal RNA". It matches the Rfam family "Bacterial small subunit ribosomal RNA", at positions 355 to 776 of the family's 1533-position model. Lineage: Bacteria; Pseudomonadati; Pseudomonadota. The record is from RNAcentral.
UGGGGAAUAUUGGACAAUGGGGGGAACCCUGAUCCAGCCAUGCCGCGUGUGUGAAGAAGGCCUUAUGGUUGUAAAGCACUUUAAGCGAGGAGGAGGGUACUGGUAUUAAUACUACCAGGUACUGGACGUUACUCGCAGAAUAAGCACCGGCUAACUCUGUGCCAGCAGCCGCGGUAAUACAGAGGGUGCGAGCGUUAAUCGGAGUUACUGGGCGUAAAGCGUGCGUAGGCGGCUAAUUGAGUCGGAUGUGAAAUCCCCGAGCUUAACUUGGGAAUUGCAUUCGAUACUGGUUAGCUAGAGUGUGGGAGAGGAUGGUAGAAUUCCAGGUGUAGCGGUGAAAUGCGUAGAGAUCUGGAGGAAUACCGAUGGCGAAGGCAGCCAUCUGGCCUAACACUGACGCUGAGGUACGAAAGCAUGGGGAGCAAACAGG